Long non-coding RNA from Callithrix jacchus (white-tufted-ear marmoset), 34904 nucleotides. RefSeq lists it as uncharacterized. The record is from RefSeq and is a predicted model, not a curated record. NCBI's taxonomy places the organism in Eukaryota, Metazoa, Chordata, Mammalia, Primates, Cebidae.
UCUCUCCAUAUACCUACACAUAUAUUCUCUCUCUCUCUCUGUCUCUCUCUCUCUCUUUCUCUCUCUCUGUGUGUGUGUGUGUGUGUGUGUGUAUAUAUGUGUGUGUGUGUAUAAAGUAUAUGUAUAUAUUCAAUGGAAAGGGAUUAAAUAUACUCAUGUGCUGGGAUACACAUAUCUGUGUACAUACAUACGUGUGUGUAUAUACAUGUGUGUGUGUAUGUGUGUAUAUAUAUAUAUAGAUAGAUAGAGAGAGAGAAUGUGUGUGUGUUCUGUUUAUAGGUGCUAAGAAGUCCCCCAACCUACAGUCAGCUUGCUUUUUGAAGGCUGGAGUCCCAGGAAAGUCAGUGGUAUAUAAUUCAGCCUGGGUCUGAAGGCCUGAGAACCAGGGGAAAUGGCAGUGUAAAUUCCAGCAUGAUUGCUGGAGAAAUGAGAUGACAUGACGGCUCAAGCCAUGAAGAAGAAGAAAAAGGGGGUCAGAUUCCUCUUUCCCCUACUUUUUUGUUUACCCCAUUCUCGGGAGGGCCAUCUGCUUUUCUGAGCCCAAAUCCUGAUUCCAAUGCUAAUUUCAUGCAAGGAUGCCCUCACAGACACUCCCAGAAACAGUGUUGAAUCGGGACACCCUGUGGCUAGUCAGGUUAUCACAUAAAAUUAAGCAUCACGAAUAUCGACACCAACGCUACUACUACUUACAGUGACAACCACUGCUACCAAUGUCCGUUGAGCACUUAUGUGCUGGGCUAAGUGCAUUAUAUGAAGUGGCCCUAUUACUGUCCCCCCUCACUGAUUAAAAAAAAAAAACCAAAAAACCUGAAACCCUAAAAGGUUACGUAAUUUUCCUGACCUCAAAGGGCAGUCAGCAUUCCAAAGAGUGCAGAAAGGAGUAAGGGAAGAAGGGCUUUCUUGACUGGGUCCAUGCUCAUCUAAAGAGGGAGGAGAGCAGUGGGGAGUCCUCAGUAAAUCAGGAAGAAACUGACGUUUCAAGGAAUAGAAAAUGUGACUCACACUGGCUUACUGGCACACCAGCUAGGAAGUCCCAAAGCGCUGUAGGUUUCAAGUUUGUUUCGUUUAGGGACUCACAAUAGAUCUGUGGCUUCAACUCUAAUCUACUUCCCCCUACCCCUCUCCCCGGUGCCUUGCCCCCAGCUCUCUCCAUUCUACACUGCUUUCUGGUUUCCUUUGCUCUCAGGCUGACUUCUUAUAUUGGUGAUCUAGAUGCUGACAGCUCCUGGGGCCCCUGGCUUCCCCAUCCCCUGAAUCAGAGUCUUGAAGCUCUUUCUUUUUUGACAACUUGAGACCUGUGCCCCCGGGAGAGCACCAUGUGCUGGCCUCUCAGGAAGGGUACCUUUCUGACCCACGGACAAAGGAGUGAGAAAUGGAGGCAAUUGCAUUUGAGUUUGUAGCCCCUGGAUUUUGUGAUUUUCAUGAUUUCUUUCAGCUCCCGUGUUAUAAAUAUCUACCCCACAAGAAGAGAGUGAAUCCACGCCAGAUACACCUGCUCCCUAGCCAUUCUGUCAUCUCUCCAGCUGUAAUUCUUAGGAAGUGAUAUAAUCCAUCCACCCCCCUCUGGAGGCAGGUGGGAAGAGGAGAGACAACUGGCAAGGGGGAGGCAAUGGGCUGAAGGCCUUGAGUUGCUCUGUCUGCAGUCACUCACCCAGUCUUUGGAAGGUGCUCAGGUGGAAAUACACUGAGGUUUUAUCCUGCUCAAUUUGUUAGGGAUGUGGGAAAGAGUGGCCAGGAAAGAUAGAGCUUAUGGGCUAUACCCAGAGCCACUGGCAAGCAGUAAGGGGCUCAGCAUGAAUGAUUUGAUAGAGCACCACACCAUACCAGGAAAAAACAUCAUGUCCCAGCCACCUGCUCGCUCUGGCUACUGGACCAGCCUCAGAUCGCAGGGAAAACGAGCCCAGGAGUAGACCUCUGUUCCAGCAAGAAAAAAAUGCAAGAAGCUAGAGUAGGACAUGGUCUCAGGCUGCCAUCUUUGAAAGGCUGGGGUCUCUUUACGUACUCACUGUUCCGUCCGUCUUUCUGCUUCCUGCAGACCUCUUGGGUUUGACCUCAUUGCCUGGCUUUGACCAGGUGCUAACCUACAUUACCUUUCCCCUUUGGUCCAUUUGAUUCUGUUCCUUUGGGACCGGACCAUCUUUGAUUUCUGAAUCCCAGCCCUCAACUGUUUUCAUUACUGACGGCCACUCACAGAGUCAUAAUUGCAGCAGGCGCCAUGUACUGAGUGCCUGUUCUGGGCCUUGGGCUUUACUGGCGUUAUUGUAAAAACACUGCAAGUUUUGUUAUUUUCAUUUUGCCUAUGAGAAAAUGGAGGCACAGAAUAGUUAAGUCACUUCCCCAGGAUUUCUCAGUUUGCUAAGUAGUAAUGUUAGGGUUCAAACUCAUCUCUGAUACCAGCGUCUUUGAGCUUUCCACAACGCUCGACUACGUCCUUUAUUAAAGCAGAGCACGUGGUAGCAGAGAACCAGACUGAAAGAUUAUCUUCAGGUGGCAAGCGGUAGCUGCACCAGGGCCCCCAACUCUGUUCUCCGGGGUUUUACUUCCCUUGUGGGUCUCUUUCCAGCUUGUUCCUGCUAUGACACGAAGCCAAACCUCCGAAAACCACAGCUACCUUUUUAAUAGUUGGCUCUGAGCUUGACAAAAUUUUCUUCUACGUCGUUCACACAACUGAGACAGGCUGAUACGUUCGGAAAGAUUUUUACUAAACAGUAAGGGAAACAGAAAGGAAAUAAUUGCUGCACAUAUAGGUGGUAUAAAAAUAGCCAACUUUCCAAAUACACAUUUCUGGCUCUAGGAAUCAGUCAAAACAGCAUAAAGCUUUUCUGUUGCCCAAACCUGAUGCUAAGGACGUCCCCUGACCAAAACACUGCUACAAGAUUCGUUUUAAUGGAGCUCAGCCAUAUGGACACUUCUGGUGUGGGCUGGGAGUCCAGAAUCUGACCCAGGGAGGGUGCAUGAACAGAGGGAGGGGCAGGGCUGUAGGACCUGUGUCUCUUGGCACAGCCUCACUUUGCUGUGACCUUCAUGACCACCUUCAUGCUGAUGCUGCUCAAAUAUUGUUCUCUAUUCCAGUCUUCCCUCCUGAAACCUACUGGGUAUCUCCACUGGAGAAGUUUCCUCAAUAACUGAGUGCCUCUAUAUUCGAGUCCAUCAUCCGUCUUCCCUCCAGACUCCUUCCUACCCCUCCAGUAAACAGCCUCACCCUCCACCCAGUUACACAAGACCAAUACUGGGGGAAAGCCAUUCCUGACGCUUCCCCUAAGUUCAAUUAGCCUUUCAAUUCUAGCAGUUCUCCCCUCCCCUCCCCCAGUUCUCUCCUUUUCUCCCCAUCUCCUCCACUUCUACCCGUAUUCAGGUCACCUUUACCUGUUAUCUGGGCUAUUGUCUUAGCCUCCUAAUUUGACUGCCUUCAGCUUUACCUCCUUUAACCUAUUCUCCAUGCCAGAGGUAAAGCCUUUAAAACACAAGUCAGAUGUCAUAGAGUUCUUUCUGCUUAAAGUCCUCUGGAAAUUCUCUAUUUCUCUUAGAAGAAAACACCAAACACAGGGCGCGGUGGCUCAAGCCUGUAAUCCCAGCACUUUGGGAGGCCGAGGCAGGUGGAUCACGAGGUCAAGAGAUCGAGACCAUCCUGGUCAACAUGGUGAAACCCCGUCUCUACUAAAAAUACAAAAAAUUAGCUGGGCGUGGUGGCACGUGCCUGUAGUCCCAGCUACUCAGGAGGCUGAGGCAGGAGAAUUGCCUGAACCCAGGAGGUGGAGGUUGCGGUAAGCCGAGAUCGCGCCAUUGCACUCCAGUCUGGGUAACAAGAGCAAAACUCCGUCUCAAAAAAAAAAAAAAAAAAAAAGAAAACACCAAACAUAGACUAACUAUGCUCGUUUCUCUAGGCUUGUGUCUCAGGACCCCUGUUCUUCUAUAUCAGUCUGUUCUCACACUGCUAAUAAAGGCAUACCCAACAUUGGGUAAUUUAUAAAGGAAAGAGAUUUAAUCGACUCCCAGUUCCACAGGGCUGGCUGGGAAGGCCUCAGGAAACUUUCAGUCAUGGCCGAAAGGGAAGUAAACACACCCUUCUUCACAUGGCAGCAGCAAGAAAUGCCCAGCAGAAAGGGGAAAAGCCCCUUGUAUAACGGUCAGAUAUCAUGUGAAUUCACUAUCAGAAGAGCAGCAUAGAGGUAACUGCCCCCAUGAUGCCAUCACCUCCCACCAAGUCCUUCCCACGACCCAUGGGGAUUAUGGGAAAAACAAUUCAAGAUGAGAUUUAGGUGGGGACACAGCCAAACCAUAUCACCUUCCUGUACUUGGAAGCUUGCACUUGUGCCUGCUCUUGUCAUUCUAAAUAAUGUUCAUCUCCUCUCCUGUGCUGCUCUGAUAUCCGGGCCUCUGACCAUGCUCUUCCCUUUAAAUGAAAUAUGCCUAUGCCAAGCCAUCUUGGCUGUUUUCUCCAAUGUAACUUGCUCCAAAAUGUUUUCUAUAUUCUGUAAAAUUAGGGUUAAGUGUGUCUUCUAUGGGUUCUAACUUACUACUUGUAACACUGUUUAGUUGUAUAGAUUUCUGUCCAACAGCAGGGACUCAUCAGGAAAGUAACCAUAUCAACUGAUUCACUAUCAGAUCACUAUUUGUCAUCGCAGUGACUGAAUUAGAGUAAGCACUUAAUAUCUGAUAAAUGGAUGAAUAGAUAAUAUGUGCAUAACAAUGGGGAAAGCACAGCCUUGGAGGAGAAUGAUUUAAUCAAUAUUGGCAUAUAAAACAAAAUAGCGAUGCAUCUGACAAACAUUUCCGGAAUGUCUCCUCUGUAUCAGGCUGUGUACCGGGCAAUCUGGACCUGGGAGACAAGAGCCAGGACCUCCGUAAUCAGCAGGACCCCGUCCCUGUCCAACAGGAGUCCCCCUGUUGCAUUCUUACUACCUUGAAUCCUACCUUUUAACUAGCCUAACUAUGCACUGUGAAUGAAAGAGUUCCAGGGCCUUGACUGAUUCAGUUAACAGCAGCAGAGAAAAAAGUAGUCCUUUUUUUUCCUCUUCUCUCCUUUUUUUCCCACUAUUUUCUUUGGUCUCUUUAUACCUCUUUAAAUAAACUCAUGCUGUUUCUGUGUUUCCCCCCACAUUCAUUUUUCUUUAAUUCAUUUGGAUGCCCCCAGAACCCACUUUUACUGUGUUUUAUUGAAGGAUGCAUUGGUGGGACCAGUGAUAAUGUAUUUGCAAAGGGGGCAUGUUAGUCUCGUAAUCAAUUACCCAGGAUCCUCUCUCACUGACAUACCCCACGUGGAGCAUCCAGCAGAGGAGGCGCUGAGCCAGCCAAGACACUAAAGAGCUGGGAAGGAAUUAGUGUUAAUUCCUACCAGAUACCUCCCUGUGAUGUUUCUCAGUCAAUAAGAGAUUAGAUAGGCGAGAAGGUUUAAACAUAGCCAUGCCUCUUCUCAUCACCUGCUAAUCCAUUCCUCUCCAUUCCCACACUAGGCCCUGGGGCAGAGGCCCUAGAAAUGUAUCCACUGAUGCACACAGAGCCCUCCAAAGGCCUUCUUUCCUUCUCCUGGACUUCUCAGAAAAGCCCUGAGUAGCAAAGUCUUCUGGUGUUGUUUCCUGGCAAAUGGAUCCCUGGGAAAUGUGGAAAGAUCAGAAGCUGAUGUGUGGCCUGUUGUGGGGGUGGGAGUGCAAGGUGAGAAAAGAGUGGGUGUGUAGAUAGAAGGCAAGAAAGCCAGGGGAGGGUUCUUACCAGCUUCUUACCACUACUCUGGUCUGCAGCCUCGGUGAUUGUGGCAGAUAGACCCUAUGAUUCCUGCCUCUGGGGCUUUGGAGUUUCGUGCCUUUCUAGGAUUCCCUCUCCUUCACUAUGAAUGGGGCUUGUUACUUGCUUCUACCUAAUAAGCUUAUUAAAGGUGAAUGGACAUCACUCCGGUGAUGCCUUAUGUUGCAUAAGGCGUGUUCUGCUAUUCUGCUGUACUCACUCGAGACUCUCAUUCUCAACCUUCCCUGCUGUUCUCUCUCUCUCUGGCUGACUUUAAAGAAGCAAGUUCGCAAAUCCUGCAACUGCAAGGAACUGAGUGCUAUCCGAUAACCCCAUGAAGUUGAAAGGAGACCUCAUACAAGAACAUAGCUCUGACCGACAACUUGAUAGCCACCUUGUGAGACUAUGAGCAGAGGACCCUGACCCAUACCUACACUCCUAAUGCACAGAAACCAUGGGAUAAUAAGUGUGUUGUCCUAAGCCACUAAGUAUGUCAUAAUUGUUCUGUAGUGAUAGAAACCAAACAGCGAUUAAAAAAAAACAAAACUAUUACAGUGACCCCUUUCCUUCCUGCUUUGAGCACCAGGGUCUUCUAUCUCCUUCCAUUAUUAAGAUGGUCUCCGCAGCAGAAGACACUGAGCCUGUUGACAUUGACAUGUGCUUGACUGCCUGCAGUUCAGGUUGCUCCCCGCCACCCCGUGGAGCCUUCACAGCUACAGCUCCUCGAAAGAACAAUCAUGAGUCUCUUCCUACUAUUCAUUUUAGAUAGCUUGCCAUUUCUUGAAUUCUAUUCCUCUUUUUGGGGAAUGGAUUGUGGUAGCACUUCUAAUUUUUCUUUCUUUCUUUUUUUUUUUUUUUCUUUUAAACUAUUCUUUGUUUGACUGGCUUUCAAGACCUGCUGUUUAGGCUCCGUUAGGGGAAGAAUUACUUUGAUGGUCAACUUCAAAACCCCUUUAUCAAAGAACAUUCCAUCUGGGGCAGAGUGGCUUGCUCCAAGCUAGAGGCUCUCAACUCCACCCCAUGCAUUCCCAGUUAAAAGGCAGCACCAGGGCCGCAGAGCCCCCGGUACAUCCAAGCAGUGUUCUAGGAGGAGUUCGGAUGAGCAUUGGUUGGGUGUCUGAGUGGAAACAGCUUUUACUAUUUUCACUUAAUUCAUAGCAGCAUGAGCUUCAGACAGAUAGAAUCAGAACUAAAUCUGACUGUCUUUGAGCUAUUCGCAGGCCGUGAGCAAGUUAUUUAACCUCUAGCCCAUUUUCCUUUUUAUUUUUAUUUAUUUUUUUUUGAGACGGAGUUUCGCUCUUGUUACCCAGGCUGGAGUGCAAUGGCACGAUCUCGGCUCACCGCAACCUCCGCCUCUUGGGUUCAGGCAAUUCUCCUGCCUCAGCCUCCUGAGUAGCUGGGAUUACAGGCACACGCCACCAUGCCCAGCUAAUUUUUUGUAUCUUUAGUAGAGAUGGGGUUUCACCAUGUUGACCAGGAUAGUCUCGAUCUCUUGACCUCGUGAUCCACCCGCCUCGGCCUCCCAAAGUGCUGGGAUUACAGGCUUGAGCCACCGCGCCCGGCCCCAUUUCCCUUUUUAACAUAGGAUUCUUGUGAAGGUUGAAUUAGGUAAGGUAGUAAAAUUUCUGAGAACAGUGUCUAGCCCCUAGCUGGCUUCCAGUGAAUGUUCAUUUUUCCUCCGUUGUGUGCACAGAGGCGGGAUGUGAGUUAGAGGAAGGCCAACAUGAAAUUUCUGAGGGAUGAAGUGCUAAACCUCACGGCAAUGUGGCUUCCUCCUCCUUCAUGCUAUUUCCCCCUGGUUUCCUCUCCUUUUUUCUUUUCUUUCUUUCUUUUUUUUUUUUGAGACGGAGUUUCGCUGUUGUUACCCAGGCUGGAGUGCAAUGGCGCGAUCCCGGCUCACCACAACCUCCGCCUCCUGGGUUCAGGCAAUUCCCCUGCCUCAGCCUCCCGAGUAGCUGGGAUUACAGGCACAUGCCACCAUGCCCAGCUAAUUUUUGUAUUUUUAGUAGAGGUUUCACCAUGUUGACCAGAAUGGUCUCGAUCUCCUUACCUCGUGAUCCACCCACCUCGGCCUCCCAAAGUGCUGGGAUUACAGGCGUGAGCCACGCGCCCGGCCCCUCCUCUCCUUUUUUCUUUCUUUCUCUGAAAUACAUGCAAAGUGCUUAGGGAACAGUGCCGGGUCUCAAAUGCUAUUUGCUGACAUUGUUCUUGUUUUUACUUUUAUUGUAGUAGUCAACAUCAUUGUCAUUGCCAUCAUCAGUAUGAUCAUCCCCUCCCUGGCAGCUAUUCUCCUUUCUGCAGUAGAAGUGAUCUUCCUGUGCCUUUUCCUGUAAUGUCAAAAGUGGGAGCCGGUGUGAAUUACACUUUGUGAACUCUCCUACCAUCUGGCUUCUUGUUUGCUUUUGCCAACAGGGAGACACUGUCAGGGGGAGGAAAGUCUUGAAUUUGCACCGUUUUCCCGCUUUUGGCAGUGUCUUCAGAAAGGGCUGUAUCCCUUUACAUAAUCUAAGCUUUAGCCACAGCAGCUCUCUCUUUGGUGACCAUCGCCUCAUCAGGGAGGCCCUUCUUUGGUGCUUCCAGUAGCAAGCACCCUCCUGCACCGCUCUAGCACUGACUAGGGCCAUCUCUCCUGGGCAGUUCCAGGCCUGACUGUUUGGCAUCCCAGCCAUGCUGUAGCAGGUAAACUCUUGUGCUCUAAUGCUCUCUCUCAUCCCAUGUUCCUCCAGCCCUGGGGUGGUCGCUACUUCCUGCAAUGAAUCAUCUCUGUGUUACCACGUUAUCACACCUUCUUGUAUUCAGACUCUGGCAACAAGUUGAAAACUAGUUCUUUGAACUAUCUCCUUUCUUUUUGAAAUACCUUGUGUGGUUCCUGACUUCCUAUAUGGCUCCUAAAGGCAGUGACUUGUAUCAGUUAUGCCCAUGGGGAGAGAGAUUACAAAUCAUUUUGAAUUGGAGCCUUUAGGGUAAACUAUUUUCCAAUGGCUUUCCAAGUUAGAACAUCAGCAAUGAAAAUGCAAACCACUUUCAAAGUCACUUUCUCAAGUCUACAGAAGAAAGCAGAGUAUAUAUCUCUCCCUUUUCCUUCUCUCGAAAUUACUGUUGGAUGUACACUGAGAUUCCUGUAGCUGGUUGCCUAAUCUGCUUAUCUCAGUGUUGGUCUUUAGAUGUUGAGUCAUUUAAUUCAUUUCUUGAACUUUACGUGAUACUUUUCCUUCUCUUUCCCUACCUCAACAUCUAUCUCAUUCUGUUCCACUGUUAUCAAAAUAAACUUGAAGGAAGGGUCUUCAGUAUCCAAUAAACUAUAAUGAUUUCUGAAAAGGUAAUUUUUACUGAAUUGUCUACUCCAUGAUUGAAGUUACAUUUUUCCAAUGAGAAAACUUUACUAUGGAAAAAUGUUAUCAUCUGCCCAUUAUUACUGAGGUAGUAACAGAACUAAAAUUCUAAACCAAUUCUGUCUGAAUCCAAAACUAAUAAAUUAAAUUAUUAUUCUACCAUCCAUCCACUUACCCAUCCGUCCAUCUAUCCAUUGGUUAAAGAGAGUUCUGUACAUGCCAAGCACUGUGACACCCACAGUAAUUGAGAAUCAGAAGGCCUAACCUAUCUUCCCUGAAAUAUCACAGAGAUAGUUACAUUCAGAGCCUGGAAGAAUGGGGACCUAUACUGUGAUGGGGUGAUGAGUAAGUGGUGGUGGAGGGCUGAGAAGACAGUAAAUAGAGAAGGCGGCCAUAGGUGUUGCUGGUUCCCUCUUUCUGUUCUCCAGAGACCGUUAUCAGCAGCCUCCCUGGGUCUCGUAGGAGACUGGAACCGAGAACAUGCUCUAUUCUCAGCCUCUUCUGUUACUUUAACAACAGUAAAAUACAUUAACAGGAAUGAAUGGACUGUAAUUGGAAGCAAAAAGACUCUAAGAGGCUGCGGAUGAGGGGUAAGUUAUUCCAGCUCCCUUCAAAACUAAUGUUUUUUGCCAAACUCAGUGGCUCAUGUCUAUAAUUUUAGUACUUUGGGAGGCUGAGGCAAGUGGAUCACUUGAGUCCAAGGCUUCGAGACCAACCUGGGCAACAUAGUGAGACUUUGUCUCUACAAAACAUAAAAAACAAACUUUAAUCUGGGCAUGUUGGUGCAUGCCUGUGGUCUUAGCUGCAAUGGAGGAUGAGGCAGGAGGAUCACUUGAGCCCAGGAGAUCAAGGCUAUAGUGAGCAGUGAUUGUGCCAUUGUGCUUUAGCAUGGGAGACAGAGCAAGCCCCUGUCUCCAAACAAACAAAAUACCUCCCCGAAACUACUGUCUCUAGAUGACUGAUUUUCUCUUUGCCCCCAGUCCUCCAUCUCAAGUGGUGUCUCCUUCUCUGUUUGGUUGAUCUUUACCACCUUUGAAUGUGGACGAGGUUUCUGGUCUACAUCAGGCUCUCGGGAUUGAUCUUUUGAAUAUAUCUGUCUUAUUCUCUCUCCGCUUUUCCUUUUCCUUGCUCUCUUUUUUCCUUGUUUCUCUCAUGGUUUCUCUGUCUGUUUUUGUAGGACGAUAGUAGCUUAAAAUAAUAGAAAGUCUAACUUGAACUGGUAAAAACAAUAAGAAAAUCCAUCUCAGGAAAAGUUCACAUAUAGGAAGCUUCCAGGGUUAGUUAAUUCAGUAAGUCAACCAUAUGAUCUGGCAUCCAGGCUCUUUCCAUAUUUCUGCUCUUCUAUUUUCAGAAGUUUUGAUUGAUGUUUGGACUGAUUACAAAUAGCCACUCAGGAGAAAAACAGGGCUAGAGACUGUGCUGCCUUUUUCUUUUCCAUGUCCUGCCCUGCCUCUGCCCCUGCCUGCCUCCUCUUCCUCCUUUUCCUCCUUCUGUCUUAGAAAACAAAGUUUUAUUCAGAAGCACCACAAUAUUAGCUUCCUCUCAUGUACCAUUGGCUAGAAAGACAGAGCUAAUGUUCAUAUCCUAGUGCGUCUCUGUCAGUGGCAAUUAUCACAAUUUGCCUGUGCCGUGUGGUGUAAAGGAUGAGGUGGUGUCAGCUAUUGAGAACUGUGAAGUAUCUGAGAUUUCACCUUAUUGCUGUAGUUUCCCAGAUUCUGGCAGAUGACAUGAGCCUCCUGAAUCAGAGACAAAGCAAUCUCAUUGCUCCCAGUGUAGUGGGCAGCCUGAGCUGCAGGUCUGCGGUAGCUGCCCCUGCCUCCACGGUUGCACAGGGGCAGCAUGGAGGAGUCAGUGAAAAUGUACAUCAUGGUUUAGGAACUUCAAACUUGGGGAAUUCAAAUCUUUGUUAACAUCUGCAAGAAAAUCUUCUGUGAGACAAUGCAAAACAGUCAAAAUUAUAUAGAACAUCAGAAGGAGAGAAACAAGGAAAACAUGAAGGAGUAAUGGUUAAAAUUUUUUCACAUUUGAUGAGAAUGAUAGCGAAUCAAAAAAUGGAAUGAAUCCUGAGUAGUGAGUAGAGAGAUUUGAUGAAAAUCAUAUAAAUAGACAUGAGAGUUAAAUAUCUGAAAACCUUUAUCUAACGAUAAAGACAAAAGCAGCUGGGAAGGGGACACAUUGCAUAAGAGAGAACAAAUUUAACAAUCCCAGCAGACUUCUUCUCAAAAGGUAUGUGGACCAGAAGACAUUGAGGUGAUAAACUUAAAGAAUUGAGCAAAAGGGCCGGGUGCGGUGGCUCAUGCCUGUAAACCCAGCACUUUGGGAGGCCGAGGCGGGUGGAUCACGAGGUCAAGAGAUCGAGACCAUCCUGGUCAACAUGGUGAAACCCCGUCUCUACUAAAAAUGCAAAAAACUAGCUGGGCAUGGUGGCGUGUGCCUGUAAUCCCAGCUACUCAGGAGGCUGAGGCAGGAGAAUUGCCUGAACCCAGGAGGCGGAGGUUGCAGUGAGCCGAGAUUGCGCCGAGCCGAGAUUGCGCCAUUGCACUCCAGGGUGGGUAACAAGAGUGAAACUCCGUCUCAAAAAAAAAAAAAAAGAAUUGAGCAGGAAAUAGGGUUUCUAUAGUGAAAAUAUUUUUCAAAAAUUAAGACUAAAAGAACACUUUUGGAAAAGUACAAACUGGGACAAUUACAAAUCUUGCAUUACAAGAAACUUGCUCUUUAGGCAAAAGAAAAAUGAUCUCAGAUAGGAUCUGCAAUCUAUAAAAAGGAAUAAAUAACACCAGAAGGGGUAAAUACUGGAAUAAGUGUGAAAUCCUUUUUUCCUCAUUUCUAAUCACUUCAAAAGUUAAUUGACUGUUUACAGCAAAGCUAUUUACAACAUAUUGUGAGGUUUAUUACAUUAGAAGAAAAUUAUAAAACAGUAACAGGACAAGGGAGGGAAAGAGAGAAAAGAAAUUGGAAUGAUAUAUGAUUCUUACACUAUUCAUGAAGUCAUAUAACGUUGCUUGAAGGAAGACUCUGAUUAAACUUGUAUAUUGUAAACUUGAGAGUCACAGCUCUCAAAAAACAAAAUCAAAAAACAAAAUAUACUGAUUAAGCCAAUACUGGAAAUAAAAUGAAAUACUAAAUGAUACUUAAUUAAUUCAAAAGAAGGUAGUAAAAGGGGAAAAAAUAAUAAACAGAAUAAAAACACAAAUAUUCAAUAUCGGGGUUCAAAUCCCAACCAUAUUGAUAUUAUGUCAAAAUGUUGUAACUCUCCAGAUACGGUCAGAUUGGAUGAAAAAGACCUGAAUCUCUUUUUUUAUAAUAAAUCCCUUAGAUACAAAGAUGCAGAUAAGUUAAAAGUAACAGGAUAAAAGAAUACGUACUAUAAAAACACUUAACGGGAUACCAGAGUGUUCUUUAUCCUUUAGUUAUAUCCAAUAUCUCGGUGAAUAUUUAAACCAAUUUAUAAUGAACCGGUCAUUUUAAAGGUGAAGAAACUUCAAAGUCAAUGCUCUUACCUACUAGAUAAGACUGCAGAUGGUUGGAAGGUAGAAAUAAUAUUUUACCUUCUAUUGCGUUUGUGUAACUACAGUAUGAGGUCUGACUCAUACAUGACUGAAAAUUACAUUUUAAGAGACUAAAGUGUGAUUGGAUGGGUGGAUGAAUAAAUGAAGGAACAGAUGCAGCUUACGAGGCAGUUAUGCCUCAUCAUCCCCUCUUGUAGUGUGUACACCGAAGAGACCUCAGUUAGAAAAUGAGAACAAACAUUUCCAUCAGCAGGUAACGAACGUCACAUCGGUGAUCAAGAUGGGAUCUGAGUGCUUUGGCGCAGGAAGCAGGGCUGAAGUUGGUUUCUAGAACCAGGCAGUGAGCUCGUCUGAGGCUCAGGGUUAGCGCUGGGCUAGAUAAUGCAUAAACCCUUAACAUAAAGCCUCUUCCUUUCAAGUCUUCCCCGUCGUUGGCUCCGAGUACUCACAGAAUUCUCCACCUCCUACAAUUCCCUGUAGGGUAUCCUGUCUAAAAGCAGUGUCUGGUCACUUGAGAAUGAUAUCUCAGUGAGUUAUUCCAUAUUUAAGUGCUGCCAAAGAAGUAUGUAAUUACAUGUGUCCUGCAAUCUUAGAGCAUAAGGACAACGUGCUUGAGUUAUUAGCAGGAUGAGCUCAUCAGAGUCAGUCACAGUAUAUUCAGUAAACCAGCAGCACUGCACUUACCACAGUGUAUUGCAUUUAUUUGUUUUAAAAUUUCAUUCUUAUGAUUCUUUGGAUGUAAGUUAUAAAUAUCCACUGGGGUCUGCUAAAGCCAAAAAAAAAAAAAAAAAGGAUUGGGGGAUUUUAUUAUAAAAAUAUAAGUGUCUCAUGCAAGCCACCCAAGAAGAAGAAAACAGCUGGGCCUUAGGAUAGAAUCGGAACCAGAAUCUGGAAGACAUCAGGACGAUCUCCCUAGCUCAUAUGUUAGUUUGAUUUGAAGAAUUUCUUCCUAUCCUACUGAGGGCUAUUUUUUUCUUGCUACUCGUUACACAUACGAAGCUAUUGAUGUCCUCCCAGUUGAAUCUUUGGUUAACAUUUUCUGCAUUAAUAGAUCAGGUGUAACCAGAAUAUCUUCAACCAAAUUUGAAAUCUCUGGAAGAAAUACUCAAAUUGACUAAUCUUGAUUCAAUGUGAAGUCCUUUAGCAGAAUCAAAAGUGUCACUCUCUCAGGUGACAGAAGUACUUAGGGCAUUUUUUUUUUUUUUUUUUUUGAGAUGGAGUCUGGAUCUGUUGCCCAGGCUGGAGUACAUUGGCACAAUCUCGGCUCACUGCAACCUCUGUCUCCCCGAUUCAAGCGAUUCUCCUGCCUUAGCUUCCCAAAUAGCUGGGACUACAGGCACGUGCCGCCAUACCCAGCUAAUAUUCUGUAGAGACAGAAUGACAUCGAGUUAGCGAGGAUGAUCUUGAUCUACUGACCUCAUGAUCCACUCACCUCAGCCUCCCACAGUGCUUGGAUUAGAGGCACAAGCCACCGCACCCAGCCAAGUGUGUCAUUUUUAAACUUGAAUAAAUAUUCUAAAAGGUAUAAGCUUCCCGAGAGUAGAAAUUCUCAUUCAUCUUCAUGUAUCUUGGCACGCUGCCUGGCACGCACUGAGUAGCUGAAGGGAUUUUAACUUACAUCUGUCUGAUUCCAAAGCCCUGAAGUACCUUCUGCUUGAUUUACUUUUUUUUUUAACAUCUGAUACAUAACUGGUUUAUUCCCCUCUGUACCAGUCAAUGUAGGGUAAGAUACGCUGCACUAACAAUUGAAUCCCCAAUUGUCAUGGCUCAGAACAGCGAUUCUUAGAGCAGCAAAAGUGUCACCUGGGCACUUGUCAGAAAUGCAGGGUCUUGGUCACUACCCCGAACCUAUUAAUGAGAAACUCUAAGGAUGGGGCCCAUCAAUCUCUGCUUUACCAAGCCCUCUGGGCAUUUGUGAUACAGACUAAUUUCAUCGCCUAGGAUGAUAAAAGUGUAUUUCUCAUUCACCUUUCAAGAGCAUUGUGGGUGGCUCUACAUUAUCCUGACUUGACCAGCAUAUGGACCAGCCCCUAAUCAGGAGGGAAAAUAAAGACAUGACAGACUCAGGGCUAGUUCUUAAAACCUGGCUCAGAAGUUACAUCGUCACUUCUGCACACAUUCCAUUGUCUUCAGCAAAUUGAAUGUGAAUGAGACAAACAAUUCUGUGACAGAGAGAACAUACGUUAAGAGGGAAACUGGAUUAUCGUAUUCAUUUUAUCUCUCCAUUUAUGAGUUGCAGAGAAAUGCUUGGACAAACAUUUUUAAGGGUCACGAAAUAAUCGUAAUUUUUUCCAUGGCUAAGAUUGCUUUGUUCAGCGUGUGUGGUCACUUUUGUAGCCCUGCAUUACUGUGCAUAAUGAGGACAGCCUGUAUUCAGAACAAGAAUAAAACCUACCGUAUACUUUUUCCUGUCUCUGUUCAAAUGUGUUUUCUUAGAAACGUUUUCCCAGAACUGCCUUACUGAGUAGAGUUCUGUCCUAAGGCCCCAUCACCCUCUCACGUGACUCAUUUUCCCCACAGCACUCACAUCUAGCAGAAGCUACUUUAUUAGUUUAAUUGCGCUGAAAUUUGCUACCAUAUGAGCUUCAUCAAAACAGAGACUUGUCUUGUCUUUUUCAUGGUUUUAUCCCCAGAGCUUGGAAGAGUGCCUCACACAGAAAUGUUCACUAAACAUUUUUGGAUAUGAAUUUGUUGAUAUCCCCUGAGAUGGAGCAACUGAAUGCUCCCUGCUAUUUAAAAUGGAGUUGGGGCCUGUCCUGACUCUGUGCCAGGAUCUGGGGAAGGCAGAUAAGGAGGCCUACAACCUGAUGCCCACACGCAGGGCCCAAUAUGGAUUCGUGACUGCUGGGUGAGGAAUUCAGCUUAUUUAGGGAAGCUGGAAGCUUUCGGCUCAUAGUUCCGCCCUAGCUUCUUCCUUCCCUACUUGAAGUACCCCCAGUGUUUUGAAGGAGGCUUCUCCUACUGCUUCUAAUGAGAGAGAUCAAUUAUCCUGAAGAAACGCCUUAUUCUCAUCUCUAGAAAGGAGAGCAUUUGGCAAGCUUUGACUCCUCAUUGCAGAGAAUACAACGUAGUUAAGAGAAACUAGAGGUUAAUUGGCCCCUUCUUUCCUCCAAAAAUUAAAAUAUGGUGGGAUAUUGUGGGCAUUGAAGAUUAAUUGCACUAUUACAAGUAUUAUUGCUCAUCUAUUUUACAACAUACUGUAUAUAUAUACACGUUUCUUAGUAAUUGAAACAAUCUCAUGAGAAAAAUAUAAAUAUAACCAUUUUCAGAAGAAACACUUAGGUUGAGAGAGUUUAAGUGAUUUAUCCAAAGCCAUCUAGCUAGAGUUACGAUUCAAACUAAAAUACCUAGACUCCAAUUCCAGGGAUUACAUAUUUUUAACUAUUUGAUACAGUCUUUCUUUCUCUCUCUCUCUCUUUCUUUCUUUCUUUCUUUCUCUCUCUUUCUUUCUCUCUCUUUCUUUCUUUCUCUUUCUUUCCUUUCUCUCUCUCUCUCUCUCUCUCUCUCUCUCUCUCUCUCUCUCUCUCUCUUUCGACAGUCUCCUUCUGUUGCCAGGCUGGAGUGCAAUGGCGUGAUGUUGGCUAACUGCAACCCCUGCCUCCUGGGUUCAAGCCGUUCUCCUGCCUCAGCCUCCCAAUAGCUGGGCCUACAGGUGUGGGCCACCAAACCAAGCUAAUUUUUGUAUUUUUAGUAGAGACAGGGUUCCCCCAUGUUGGCCAGGAUGGUCUUGAUCUCUUGACCUCAUGAUCUGCCUGCCUCGGCCUCCCAAAGUGCUGGGAUUACAGGUGUGAGACACCAUGCCCAGACAGAUUUUUCAAGAAAGACAAACGGCUAUAUUUGGAGAGGGGGGGCAGUUUCUCCCUUGAAAGAAUGAGAAAGCCCUACAUGACCAAAUGCUAUGUCCGGUUAAUCACAACCAGAAUAAUUCUAAGAUUUAUACGUCGUAUCUCAGUCCUUUCUGCGAUGAAGUUACCUUAUUUUUCUGAGUAGCUAAUUACAUUCCCUUUUACACAUUCAGGAAACUGAAAUUCAGGCUCAAAGUAAUUGAGGUUCAACGCUUAGAAAGGUAGAGAUAGGGCCAAAGCAACGCAAGUUAGAAUUUCGGCUUCACCACUUCCGGGCUGUGUGGGUUUGGACAAUUUCCUUGGCUUUUCUUAGCGAAGUCUUCCUCCAUACUGCAUGCCCCUGAGGGCAUAGAUUUUAUACCUCACUGCUGAUCAAGCCUGAAAAUCCUGAGGUCUUUGUGACAGACCCUACUAAUUACCUAGAAGUCCUUCUCUCCUGUGCCCCAAUUCCUUCUCAACUAACAGAAUUCAAUGUUAUGCAGCUGCCAGGUAGGAAGCUCCACCACCAUCUUCUCAUUGAUGAGUCACGACUGGACUAAGCCAAAAGUGGAAAUUGAAUUCCUCUUCGAUGGAUAUUGCUUUGGGGGUAGUCAUAGAAUCAUUUUUUCUUUCUUUGAGACAGAGUUUCACUCUUGUUGCCCAGGCUAGAGUGCAAUGAUGCGACCUCAGCUCACUGCAACCUCCGCCUCCCGGGUUCAAGCAAUUCUCCUGCCUCAGCCUCCUGAGUAGCUGCUAUUACAGGCACCUGCCACCACACUCGGCUAAUUUUUUGUAUUUUUAGUAGAGAUGGGGUUUCACCAUGUUGGCCAGGCUGGUCUCGAACUCCUGAUCUCGGGUGAUCCACCUGCCUCGGCCUCCCAAAGUGCUGGGAUUACAGGUGUGAGCCACUAUGCCCAGCCCACACGAUCAAUUUCUGAACAUGUGAAAGAGGAAAGUUGCUGGAGACUACCCUGUUGAAAGACAACAAAUGGUGGAUAGGGAAUUAUUUCUGCUGCUGCUCUCCUUCUUGUUUGGGUUGUGGAAUUAAUAUAUUUGAAAAAUACUGAGUUCCCACUAUGUGACAGAAACUAAAAAAAAAAUCUCUAGAAAAAUAGUAAACAGAACAGACAAAAUCCCUACCCUAAUGGAACUUAUAAACUCUUUUCAAAAAUAACCUGUAGUGGUGAGAAACAAUACGAAGAGAAGUCAAGUAGGAUGGGAAGAUAGUGAUGGGGUGCUGUUUUGUACAGUGUGACCAGAGAAGACCUUUUAAUUAGGUUAACCUUGAGUUAAGACUGAAAAGUUGAGAGAGCAGAUAUCUGGUGUAAGAAAAUUCCAGGUGAGAGUAAUAAGGGCAAAGUCCUUCAGCCAGUAGAAUGACUGGCAUGUUGGAUAAAUUAAAAAGGUAGAUCUGGCCAGGCGCGGUGGCUCAAGCCUGUAAUCCCAGCACUUUGGGAGGCCGAGGCGGGUGGAUCACGAGGUCAAGAGAUCGAGACCAUCCUGGUCAACAUGGUAAAACCCCGUCUCUACUAAAAAUACAAAAAAUUAGCUGGGCACAGUGGCUCGUGCCUGUAAUCCCAGCUACUUAGGAGGCUGAGGCAGGAGAAUUGCCUGAACCCAGGAGGCGGAGGUUGCAGUGAGCAAGGGUAACAAGAGCGAAACUCCGUCUCAAAAAAAAAAAAAAAAAAAAAAAAAAAAAUGGUAGAUCUGAGUGACUGCAGCAGGGUGAGCUAGUGCCAAACUUUUGGACCAUGACCCACAGUGAAAAAUAAAUUUGAUAUUCUGACCCAGUACACAUGCACAUGCCUUCACGCACACUGAAUUCAGAGUUUAACAGAAGAACUCACCUUUACUAUGUGUAAUGCACUGUGAUGGUGUCUCUUAUAUUUUAUUCUAUUUGAUUAAAAUGUCCUGGUUAUGACUAUUAGAAUUGACUAUAUAACAUUCUAGUAGGUCAGAACCCACAGUUACGCUGAGCUUGGGUGAAAGUGAUAGGAAUUAAGAUCAAAGAGGUAAUGGGAGGCCAGAGAACAUGCUUUUUUUGGAUUCUGCAAGCAAGAUGAAUGAGUAGGGAGGCUAUGAGAACAUUUAGAGUUAAGGAGCAAUUUGCAUUUUUAAAAAAUGAUUCCGAUUGCUCUUUGGAUAAUGUAAUAUAGUAGAGCAGCAAAGGUGGAAAUACAGAGCAGAGUAAGAUGCUAUUUUUAUAGCUCACGUAAGAGAUGAUGGGAGCUUAGACCAUUAUCUUAGAGAAGUAGGAAGAGAGAUACUGAGAAGUGGCCUGAUUCUAUAUUUAUUCCAAAGAAAGUUCCAACAGGAUUUUCUGAUAGAUGUGCUGUAGGCUGAUACAGGUAGAGGAAAAGGAUGAUUCCAAUGUUUUAGACCUGAGCAACUGGAAGGAACAGGGCUGCCAUUUACUGAGAAGAGUCAAACUGAGGACAAAUUAGGUUUGGGAAAGGGAGUGACACUGAAAGUUCAGUUUGGGACUUGUGAACUUUGGAGACAUCUAAGUGUAGAUGUCAAAAAGUCAGUUUUAUAUUCAGGUUUGAAAUUUAGUGCUGGAGAAAUUGAAUCACAAGUUUAUAAAUGGUGUUUAAAACUCUCCUGGAUAAUAUUGCCUAGGGAUUGUGGAGCAAAUACAGUUAAAUGAUGCCUAAAUCCUGAGCUUUGAGGCACACAAAAUUGGGAGGUUGACAGGCAAGGAGAAACCAGCAGAGGAGACUGAGGUGGAGUGACCACAACAGUGAAAUGGGGACUAAGAGUAAGCGGAGUCCUGGAAGGAAAGUCAGAAGGUGUUUCUCAAGUGAUGGGCCAUCCUGUGUAUGAGGUGCUGUUGAUGGGUUAAGUAAGAGUAAGGGCUGAGAAUUGACUGUUGAAUUGGGCGAUGUGGAGGGCACUGGUGACUUUCAAAGGAGAGAUUCAGUAGGGUGGUGCAGGAAGUGGCCCAAUCGGACUGAGUUCCAGAAAGAAUGGCAGGAGAUGAAGAAGAGAUGAAGGGUAUGGGAAAUUAGUUGAAAGAGUCUUGCUGUAAAUGAGAGUAGGGAAAUGGGAUGGGAUCUGCUAAGUGAGAAUGUCAUACUUGCGGUGUGGCCGUGUCUUUUGACAAUGAUAGGCCAAGCAAACUUCAGAGACUUUGAACAGGGACCUUGUAUCUAUGGGUACUGACUUCAUUAAGUAGACAGUAACCAUUCUUACUCUUUAAGCUGUCAGUCAAGCAAUCUAUUAAUUGCAACCAAAUGCAUCCUAGGGGCGACUAACUGUACAUUUUCAUCAAACUUCAGAUUCCUGGCAACAGGGUCGUGAAGUGUGGGCCUUGGAGUGAGUUCCUGAGGGGCUGCUUACCAGCUGUGUGUUCCAGGGCUAUUUAACACACGGAAGCCUCAGUUUGAUCAUAUAAACAAUGGAUAUUACAGUUGUUCUGAAUCCAUAGAUGUUAUGCUCUGAAGAUGUCCUCUGGUAUUCAUGUGUUGGAAACUUAAUUCCCAAUGCAGCAGUGUUGAGCUGAGCCUUUUUGGGAGGUGUUUAGAUCAUGAGGGCUGAACCCUCAUGAAUAGACGAAUGCCACUAUAAAAAGGGAAGGAGUGGGUUCGCUCUCUCUUGCCCUUCCAGCUUUGGCAUGUGAGGAUAUACUUAGAAGGCCUACACCAGCUACCACUGGCUCGAUCUGGGAUUUCCCAGCCUCCAGAACACUGAGAGAAGACAUUUCUGUUCUUUAUAAAUUGCCAGUUCUCCACUGUUUUGUGAUAGCAGCACAAAACCGACUAAGACAAUAGGGUUAAUUAGUGGACGAAAUGAGAUAAUCCGUAGAUGCUCGUAACAUAGUGCUUUUGACAUCGUAAUUGUUUAGUAAAUAUAAGUAAUGAGCUUUACUUUCCAUACUCUGAUUUUGUAGCUUUGAACCUUCAUUCAACACCUCUGCUUUUAGAAGAAAUCUCUCCUAUACCUUAGUCCUUGAAAGCCUACAACAGCUCAACUACCCCAUCAUCCCCAGUAGAGCAGAAACCUCCAAAUAAAUGCAGCUUUGCAUAAAUCUCUUCAUUAGGGAUCGGGGCCCAAAAGAGGAACUGCUGAGCUCUGAGUCCCGGAAUUUUUUCCUGCUAGAACAAUAGGGCAGCCCAGUUCUUCUCACAGCUGUCUGUCUGCCUCCCCUGCCCUGCCCUCCUUUUGGUAGUUACUCACUUCAUCAUCAUGCCACGGUGGCGACCAGGAUACGUGAGUUCUCUGUGAGCCUUCGAAGUGUAUUUACUGCUGAGCCACGCUGCCUCAGAACAAUUAAAUCACAUGACAGUUGUCAAAAGCAUUGGCAGGUUUUUGGCUUGUGAUUGCCAGAUUCCGCUCCCUUUGGAGGCUGGCGCCUGGAAAAAAUAAUGACCUGCCUGGCUCCCUGCCUCAUAUUUCUCUGAUCUUCUGCUGCACAGGCCGUUUAGUCCCUAAAGCAGGCCUGGCUUGCCUCAGGCUCUAAACUAACCACUUCUUAAUUAGAAAGGAAAAAAAAAAAAAAAAAAAAAAACCUUGGAUAUGUAACCUGCCUGAGGAUCUCAUCAUGACCUGUCCUCCAGUCUCAUAGUGAGCCAAGCUCUUGUUUCUCCUGGUCCAGGAACUCUAGUUCUUAUUCCAGUUUGACUCUGUUGUCAUCCCAAUCCUGAAUCCCUUCUCAGCUUUUCCAUUCUUCCUUCUGCAGCAGAGACCACCUGGCCUUUAUAUUAGGCUGAGACUUCCCUCAUUUUGAUCUGAGCUAGGAAAGGCGCCAGAUCUAUUGAGUCUAGGCAUUGCUUUAGAGACUUUACAUAUUUUAUUCCUUUUAUUUACCAUGUCAAUUAUCUGAGGAGGGUCGAGGCAGAUAGGACCAGUGACUUUCCCAAGGCCACACAAUAGAAGAAGGAGGAUUUCUGUGGGCCCCAAUGUAGGUAUUGAGGGUAUAAGAUGCACCCGCAUAGUUCAACUCUCCCACCUUUGCUUUUCUUUUCCUCUUCACUCAGGAGAUCUACAUCCGAUAGGUAAAUUCUGGAAAUCUGAUUCUGCUUGGUAUACCAGGGGUCAGGAUGACUAUAUGUACAAGGGUAGCCCUAAGAUAAUGAGUUUCUCUUACCCCCUUUUCUUUUUGUCCUCCACCUCUCUUAUUCAAACUUAAAUGUUGUCAUCCUUUCAGUCAUGAGCAGAACAGCCAUCUGCUGGGCACUGGGGUUUUGGUCUAUGGAACUGGAGUGGAUCCCUGUUCCCGACGCUUCGAGUGAAUUCUGCUUUCUUUUCUGUUAAAUUUACCAGAGAGCUCUUCAUGUGGUUUUUGGGCUCAAGCUCAACUAAUAACAUUUUGCCGAGUUUUCCCAUUUGUCAUCGUCCCUUGCGAGUAUCUCUUUCUUGGGAAGAAGCCAACAUGGCUGAAUCUAAGCAUUCCUUGGGUUUCAAAGACCAAAAUCUUACAAUGAAUCUCUGAACAUCAUGUCUGUUAGGCUCCAACGCCAAUGCUCAGAAUGUACAAAACUAAGUCUAUCGCAAGGCAUUAAAUGCAGUAAUAAAGGCCUUUUCCACCGCCUGACAAAGCCCCAGUCCCCAGUUUUGAUGGAAUCUCCUAUGUGUGAUAUAAUGCCAAGCACUUGCUCAAACAUGCUUUAAUCUCUGAAAUGAAAUUCUAUCUGCAAACUUCCUCUAGAUAUUCUAAAAUGCUUCCAAUUUCUUGUGUUUGGCUGAAUAAAACGCCAUUGCUUCAAUAAUGGGAAAUACAAGUGCUUUUCAAAGGAUGUACUACAUAAGAAGUGUUCUUUUUAUUUUAUUUUUAAAAAAUUCUAACAGUUGACUUUUAAUAUCCGAUGUUUGAAUUUGUAGUUAGGGAUUUCUUUAUGUUAGGCCAAUACAUUGCUGUAGCAGAAAAGAAAAGAGAGAGCUUAGGUUUAUUAAAAGAGCAAUCAAAUGUCUUGGGGAUGUUGUUCUGUGUUGUGUUGGUUGUAUGGAGAAAGAGGAUGCUGUAAAUUUGAAAGGGGUAUGCUGCAUCUUAAAGACAUUUGCCUUUGCAGAGCCUGAGGAACUGGCCAUGCAUACUGAGAGUCCCUUGCAAAUCUGGCUCUGAGCUCACCCUCCACAAUGUUCAUGUUGAUUUAUCCAAUCCACCAUUCCUGUGCACUACAUGACACCCUGAGCACUCGCUUUUCUGCACCCCAUCCAUCAAACUCAGUUUCCUGAGGGAUUUAGGAUAAAGUCUGUUCCAGCCAGCUGCUCAUCCUGGUUCUAGGAUGGAGAUUCUGGCCUGAGUCCCGCUCCUGCUGCCUUUCAUAGACUAGAAAAGAAAGUACAAUAGGGAGAGUACAGGGUGUGGAAGAAGAUUUUAGUUGUACCUCAGCCCAUCCAGUCCAUGAUUUUGCAUAGGAGACUAUUUAGGGUAAUAAUAGGUACCAUAACAAGCCCCAAACCCCAAAUCUAAAUGACAGUAGAUGCAGUAGACGCUGAUUUAGUGCUCAUUGAACAGUUUGCUCUUUGUGCUCCUUGUUACUGAGCGGCCUCCUUUGUUGUGUGAUUCAGGGACUGAGGCUCUGUCCAGUUUUGGAGCUCCAUCCUUUCCUAUCCCCUGCACCCCAGUCCUCUUCAUUCAGCCUGCAUAUGAGUAAAUGAAGGGAAGAAACGGCAUGAUCACAUUUUAACCAACUCAACCUAGAGGUGAUGCCACAUUCCAUCAGCAAGAGCACAUCACAGGGCCCCACUGAGAUGGCAGAUUAAACUCAAAAUGUUGUCUUUGGUCACUUACUUUUAAGCAAUAACCUACUAUUGAAGAGAUAGCAGCAAUCUUUGGUGGGUGUUUAAAUGUCUCUAAGCCUCCAUUUCCUUUUCUUUGUUUUUUUUUUUUUUUUUGAGGUGGAGUCCAGGCUGGAGUGCAAUGGCAUGAUCUUAGCUUACUGCAACCUCCACCUCCCAGAUUCAAGUGAGUCUCCUGCCUUAGCCUCCUUAGUAGCUGGGAUUACAGGUGCCUGCCACCACACCUAGCUAAUUUUUGUAUUUUCAGUAGAGAUGGGAUAUUGCCAUGUUGAUCGGGCUGGCUUCUAACUCCUGGUGAUCCACCCACCUCGGCCUCCCAAACUGCUGGGAUUGCAAGCAUGAUCCACUGCACCCAGCCUAAGCCUGCAUUUUCUUACCUGAGAAAUAUGAAAUACAUUCUCCAAGGUCACACAGUUGGUAAAUGAUGAGGCUAAGAAUAAAAGCAAUAAAAGAGUAAAAGCUCCCAUUCCACUUAGUUCCUGUGGUACCUCAAAACACCGUCAAAACUUUGGAAGAACGGAUUAAAAGGUCAGUGCUUUUAAAGUCAGUAAAAUAGUACUUCUCUCUGUGUGUUUCUCUUUCUCUCCUUUUCCUUUUUGAAAACUCUCUGGGAAGAACAGUCCUGGAACUUAAAAUUUUCUGGGACAGUAUGAGCAUUGCAGCGUGCACUGUCCCCAGCAUCUCCAGCGCUGACUCCCUCUCCCCUGGAUUGCCUGCCAGUCACUCUGUCUGUCCUUCCCACUGGGUCACAUGAUCCUGUCCACUCACUGGCUACUGUGGAAAAGUCUGCCGUGUAAGGCGGCUGCUGAUUAGUGGGGAGAUGAUUGAAGCUCCCUCGUGGGGCAGACAGACAGAUCUGAGGGUAGUGAAAAUAUCUGAGUUGGUGUGAAUUAAGAAUUGUUGGCCGGAAACAGGGUUUCCUGCCUUGUAAUCCCAGCAGUUUGGGAGGCUGAGGUGGGCUGAUCAGGACGCCAGGAGUUCGAGACCAGCCUAAGAUGGUGAAACUCCAUCUGUACUAAAAAUACAAAAAUUAGCCAGGGAGUGGUGGCACACACCUGUAGUCCCAUCUACUCAGGAGACUGAGGCAAGAGAAUUGCUCGAACCCGGGAGGCAGAGGUUACAGUGAGCCGAGAUCACAGUGAGCCGAGAUCAUGCCACUGUUGCACUCCAAUCUGGGCAACAGAGCGAGACCCUGUCUUAAAAAAAAAAAAAAAAAAGAUUUGUCUCAAUAGCACUUUCCCAGCUUCAAAAGAAUAAUACGUUAGAAAUUAUGAGAUGCUGAACAUUUUACACCAUCUCUUUCAUUUAAUCCUCAAAAUCACCUACUGAAUUAGGUACUACGACUAUUCUUAGCUUUGCAGAUGGGAACCUGGAGAUCGGGGAGGGUAAGGAAUAUGCCCGGUGUUGCACAGAGCAGAAAGACAAAGACAGAGCUUGAGCCUAAGUAUUGCUGGAUUGUGGGCAGUUACAAGAAUAGGGUGUGUCAUUGCCCAGAGGCCCUAACACAGGUGUUUUCACAUCCUGUGUGAUGGUUAAAGUGGAGGAAUAUGACUUCCAUCAGAGUGUCGCGAUAGCAGGGGAGGAAGGAAUAAAUCAGCCCCAGUUAGUGGGGAUUGGUUAAUAACUUCACUUCUUCCUCACUGGCCACAGUGUUGCUCCAAGAUGUCCCCUUUUGAAGUUAAACACAUUUGCCAUGGGCUGUCUUUAGUAUCUUCCCCUCAGCUCUCUGGUUCCUAUAUCUGAAGCCCGUUUGACCUCACAUAUGACUGCAAUAAGGGGAGAUUCAGAGUCAAAGUUGAAACUUCAGAAAACUUAGCUGCAAGCUUUCUUCUCAUACCGGCUUAAAGUUCUGGGACACUUAUGUCUCACUGAGUCUUCUUAGUCUUAGUGACCUCAUGAUAUGAUUUAAAUCAUUCUGGGAUGGGGUCCUGGGACAAGUGAUUUUUGGCCACCUUCACUGAUACCUUUUUCAACUGGGUCAAAACUCACUCUCCACAUUCAAAUCCCUCUGCAAGCCAUCAGUUCCUGCUCCCUACAAUCCAGAAUGUAGAGUAGGGACUGGGCCCAUUCUUUGGGAGGGAGGUGACCUUACUUCAUGCUGGUAAGAUCUGAAAUACAGCUUUGGUGUUAAAAUAGGACAGACCUCUUGAAUCUUGUCAGGGUUAGAAGUAUUUAAGCUUCUCUCAGGAAAAAAGACAUUGCCCUACUCAUCUUGCCAGAGAUCUCCAUAUUGGAAAUUUGACCCUAAGACUCAGCUAAUAAAACCAAAGGCGACUUUGCCUUUGAUUUUCUGGGCAUUGUCCUGUGCCUAUUUCUCCAUCAAGGGUUUAGCAAAGCGGUGAUUGAUCAUGAGCAAGAAUUAGAAAGUCAGCGUGUCACAGAAUGACAAACCUGAGUUCUGCAGCUGGCCAUCUAGGUACAAAUCCCCUGGUGCUACCACUCAUUAACUGUGACCUCAGUUUUCUUCAUAUGUAAAAUGUGGGUAAUUUGAGUACUUCAUAGAAUACUCAUACCUUUUGUAUGUUUUUUGGUGAGGAUUAGGUGCGUUAUUUAUGUCAAAUAUACCUGGAGGAUUUGACACACGGUAAACAGUCAACAAAUGUUAACGGAUGAUUAUUGUGGGCAUGACGUCAUUUCUGAGGUGGAUUUAGAAUUCAGAUUGGACCUGAUUCCUAGCAUGUUCACACUCAUGUGGUGUGUAACAUUUACUGGGCAAUUUCUCUGUGUCCCCAGUUCUCGUCACUUACAAAAUGAGGUUGAAUGCCACCCCCUUUGCGGCACUUUCUCCCUUUCAUGAUGCCUUUGAGUUUGUUCUUCAUUAUCUUACCUCCUGGCUAAACUGUGCCUUCAGGAUAUCCCGAGACUGACCCUGUAAACAACAACAACCACAACAAAAAACAGGAAAACAGGACAAAACACCCCGUGCCUUCACGAAAUACUGAGCUGACACCAGAGUGGGAACCUCCCAACUUCCUCUCCCAGUCUCCUUUAUGUCAGAGGUGUGUGAACCACCCACAGCAACUCCAUCUUGAAUAGGAGCUGGGUAAAAUGAGGCUGAGACCUACUGGGCAGCAUUCCCAGGCAGUUAAGGCAUUCUAAGUCACAGGAUGAGAUACGAGAUUGGCAUAAGAUACAGGUAAUAAAGACCUUGCUGAUAAAACAAGCUACAGUAAAGAAGCCACCUCUAACCCACUGAAACCAGGACUGCAAUGACAGUGGCCUCUGGCUGUCCUCACUGCUACACUCCCAUCAGUGCCAUUGCAGUUUACGAAUGCCAUGGCAACAUCAGGAAGUUACCCUAUAUGGUCUAAAAAGGGGAGGUAUAAAUAAUCCACUCGUUGUUCAGCAUGUAUUGCAGAAAAAACCGUAAAAAUAGGCAACCACCUAUCCUUGGGGCUGCUCUGUCUAUGGAGUAACCAUUCUUUCAUUCCUUUACUUUCCUAAUAAACUUGCUUUCAUUUCAUGCACUUGCCUUGAAUUCUUUCUUGUGUGAGAUUCAGGAACUGUUUCUGCGGGGUGUUGGGGAUCCCCUUCCUGUACCACAUGCUGGCCUCUGCCUGUACGCCCUGCAAAACACCUUGCAGGUAGUGGUGAGAAUUUCCGGAUUUAUUUUGGGGGCAUCCGAAGCUAACACUAUGUGAGCAUAGUGUUGAUGGCAAAGACAGGUAAGAUAACCUUCAUGGGUGGUAGGAAGAGGUAAGAUGUUUAGAAAUACGAGUGGGAGGGAGAGUAUGAAGAUGGAGAGAAGAAAGAGCUGUUGGAUGCUGGCAUCCAGUAGAAAUAGCUAGAGCCCUCUUGUUUCCAAGAUCAGCCAUGCAUUGCCAUGCAUCUUCUGCGGAGAUAAUGGGUGAUGUCACAACAGGCCUUCUGGGAAACCUGAGUACUGCUGGUGAAGGCAGCCAGCCUGCCUUCCUUAUGAGAAGAGAGCUCUGGGCUCCAGCAGCUGAGGCAUCCUGGAGUCCAUGGGAUGGCUCAUAAGGAUUUACCAAAGGCUGGGUCCACCAUUCCCUCCUACUUCCUGGCACCGAGUAUUUCCUCGUACUUGAUAGAAGACGCCAGGUGGCUUCUAGCUGAAGGGUCACCCUCUCUCUACCUCCCUGCCUCUUGGUUGCUGAAGUGAGAGAAUGCUCUACCUCCUUAACAUCUUUCUUCUGCUCCAAGCUCCUGGGGUGGACAUUUCUCAGAAUGUUGGUUGGACAACAUCAUGGCCGGAAACCGUGGUCUCUGGAAAGAAGUGUCCUAUGAGGAGUCUCUUGGCUUCACUACAUCUGGGUGAGAAAUCCCUGGGUUAAUAGUAGAUUUGCCACCAGAGGUCAAGUUCAAGACAAAUGAUGGCUGCUGCUGCUGCUGCUUCCACAAAAGACAAGAAUCCUUUGCAUCCUUUGCUCCUCACUCACUAGCAGGGUGGCCUUGUGGAGUUUAUGUAACGGUUUCUGCCUCAGUUCCCACAUCUGUACAAUGGGGAAUAUAAAAUUGCCUACAUCAAAAAUGAAUGUGAGGAUUAAAUGAGAAAAAUGCCUUUAGUUUUAGAACAUCGCAUGGCUCAUAGCAAGUGUGUACACACACACACACACACACACACACACAAUCAUUGCUGUUAGACUGUUUCUCUUUUUUUGACCCAACAAAUGAAACUAGAAAAAUCUUUCACAUACCUGUGAUAUUUGAGAGGGAGCUUCCAGGUAGAUUCGUGAUUUCUGGUACCCUAUUAUAAUUCUUCCCUUUCUCUCCCACCCCAAAGCAGCCGCCUCCUAGGCCUUCCCUGCCACAUUGCUCCCUCAUUGUGCAGAAUGUAGGGGAAGGCGAGAUCGCCUCCAAUCCUCCUUAGCUCUUAUGUUAGUUCUUCAGCUGGGUCUAGGAACCAAGUUGAUACCAGACAGAUUAACAAGAGAAAAAAGAAAGCAGAUGAUACUGCUUCAGGGGGUGCAAGUCCCAAGCCUCUGUAGCUUCCACAUGGUGUUGGGUCUGAGGGUGUGCAGAAGGCUAGAGUUGAGGCUUGGAAGCCUCUGUGUAGAUUUCAAAGAAUGUAUGGAAGCACUUGGAUGCCAGCAGAAGUCUGCUGCAGGCAGAUUAGCAAGUUUAUUAUGUUUACAUGUAGCUGGGGCACUUCAUAAGAGAGUGACAUCCAACAAAAUGGCCACACAAGAUGCUUUUAUACAUUUUAGACAAAGAACAAAUUUGUGAAGAAAUGUCAGGACAAAGGGGAUCUGGCUAGGAGCAGUAAGUUCUAGGGGAGCCACUAGGAGACAUAAAAGGGUGGAAAACAAGCGUUAAUUUGGGAAGUUGAUUCCAGCCCGAACUCCCAGUCUUCUGAUGAUGAGGGCUAUUUUCUCACCCUGGUAUAGGGGAGGUACCCUCCCGGAGUAAUAUUUAUGGCUUGCUACAUGUAGAAAAGGACAGAUCAGCUCUCCUUUUCUGAAACUAUAAUUUCUCCAAUGUUUUCAGCUUAAAAUAAUCAAUACACUGAUUCAGCAUAUUUUGGGAUGGCACAUCUGUGCCUUCUUAAUGAUCACUUCCUCCUCUCUGCACUCCUUCCCGAUGCAGUUACUAAGCAAACAGUUGAGCGAUCAUCUGAUUAAUAUAGAACAACAUCAGGGUCCACUUAGACUUUCUUUGGACCUGAAUCCCCAUUUCCUGGCACAGCAUGGCUGCUGAAGAGAGUUAAAUAUGUCACUAUUGGAUGUAAGUGAGCGUAAUACUACUCUAAGACUUGUGAUACGGUUUGGCUCUGUGUCCCCACCCAAAUCUCAUGUCGAAUCAUAAUCUCCAGUGUUGGGAGAGGAACCUGGUGGGAGGUGAUUGGAUAAUGGGGGAAGAUUUUCUCUUUGCUUUUCUUGUUAUAGUGAGUGCAUUCUCAUGACAUCUGGUUGUUUAAAAAUGUGUACCACUGGCUGGGCAUGGUGGCUUACACCUGUAAUCCCAGCGCUUUGGGAGGCCAAGACAGGUGGUUCACAAGGUCAGGAGUUCAAAACCAGCCUGGCCAAGAUGGUAAAACCCUGUCUCUACUAAAACUACAAAAAUUAGCCAGGUGUGGUGACAGGUGCCGGUAAUCCCAGCUACUCAGGAGGCUGAGGAAGAGAAUUGCUUGUACCCGGGAAGCAAAGUUUGCAGCGAGCCGAGAUUGUGCUACUGCACUCCAGCCUGGGUGACGGAGCGAGACUCCAUCUCAAAAAGAAGAAAAAAAAAUUGUGUAGCACUUCCCUUCUGCUCUCUCCUGCUCUGUCAUGGGUGGCGGCUUCUUUGCCUUUUGCUGUGAUUGUCAGUUUCCUGAGGCCUGUGAUUGUCAGUUUCCAGCCAUGCUUUCUGUACUUCCUGUAGAGCUGUGAGACAAUUAAACCUCUUUUCUUCAUAAAUUGCCCAGUCUCAGAUAGUUCUGUAUAGCAGUGUGAGAAUGAACUAGUACAGAAAACUGAUACCAGAGAAGUGGGGUAUUGCUAUAAAGAUACUUGAAUAUGUGGAAGCGACUUCAGAACUCGGUAAUGGGCAGAGCUUGGAACAGUUUAGAGGAAUCAGAAGGUAGGAAGAUAAGGGAAGGUUUGGAACUUCAUAGAGACUUGUUGAAUGGUUGUGAUCAAAAGGCUGAUAGUGACAUGGACAGUGAAGUCUAGGCUGAGGAGGUCUCAGAGGAGAUGAGGAAGGUAUUGGGAACUGAAGCAAAGUUCACUCUUGCUACGCUUUAGCAAAGAGAUUGGCAGGAUUUUGCCCCUGCCCUAGAGAUUUGUGGAACUUUGACCUUGAGAGAGAUGAUUUACAGUUAUCUGGCAGAAGAAACUUCUAAGCAGCAAAGCAUUCAAGAGGUGGCCCGGCUACUUCUAAAAGCUUACACUCACUUGCAUAAACAAAGAAAUGACCUACAACUAGAAUUUAUGUUUAAAAGAGAAGGAGAAGAUAAAAGUUUGGAAAAUUUGCAGCCUGCCUAUGCAGCAGAAAAGAAAGACCCAUUUUCUAGGGAGAAAGGCUGCAGAAAUCUGCACAAGUGAAGAGCUGAAUGUUAAUAGCUAAGACGAGGAGGAAUAUACCUCCAGGGCAUUUGCAAGACCUUCAUGGCAGCCCCUCCCAUCACAGGCCUAGAGUCCUAGGAGUCAAAAGGACCUACUGCUCUUUGCAGCUUUGGGACAUGGCGCAUGGUGUCCCAGCCACUUGAGCUCUAGCUGCAGCUAAAAGGGGCCAAUGUACAGCUCAGGCCAUUGCUUCAGGGGGUGCAAGCCCCAAGCCUUGGUGGCUUCCACGUGGUGUUGGGUCUGUGGGUGUGCAGAAGGCUAGAGUUGAGGCUUAUAAGCCUCUGCCUAUAAGCCUUCCAUAUAUUUCAAAGAAUGUAUGGAAACACUUGGAUGCCCAGCAGAAGUCUGCUGCAGGGGUAGAGCCUUCAUGGAGAACCUCUACUAAGACAGUGCAGAGGGGAAAUGUGGGGUUGGAGCCCUCACAUAGAGUCCCCACUGGGGCACUGCUUAGUGGAGCUGUGAGAAGAGGGCCACCAUCCUCCAGACUCCAGAAUGAUAGAUCCACCAACAGCUUGCACCAUGCACCUGAAAAAGCUAUAGGCACUCAAUGCCUGCCUGUGAAAGCAGCCUUGGGGGCUACCCUGCAGAGCUACAGGGGUGGAGCUGCCCGAUGCCUUGGGAACCCAUCCCUUUCAUCAGUGAGGCCUGAAAGUGAAAAAUGGAGUCAAGGGAUAUUAUUUUGGAGCCUUAAGAUAAGUGCCCUGUGGGUUUUAGACUUGCACGGGGCCUGUAGGCUGGCUGUUUGGCCAAAUUCUCCCUUUUGGAAUGGAGGCAUUUACUCAAUGCCUGUACCCCCAUUGAUUUUUGGGAGUACCUAGCUUGUUUUUGAUUGUUCGGGCUUGCCUUGUCUCAGAUGAGACUUCAGCUUGAACGUUUGCGUUAAUGCUGAAUUAAGGCAUGAUUGUGUUUUGAAAUGUGAGAAGGACAUGAUUCUUGGGAGGGGCCAGGGAUGGAAUAAUAUGGUUUGUCUCUAUGUCCUCACACAAAUAUUAUGUUGAGUUGUAAUCCCCAGUGUUAGUGGAGGGACCUGGUGGGAGGUGGUUGGAGCAUGGGAACAGAUUUCCCCCUUGCAGUUCUCAUGAUAGUGAGUGAGUUCUUAUGAGAUACGGUUGUUUAAAAGUAUGUAGCAACAUCCCCUUCUCUCUCUCCCUUCUGCUCCCACUGAGAGAUGUGAUACUUUGCUUCACAGCUCCACAAAGCAGUGCCCCAGUGGGGACUCUAUGUGAGGGCUCCAACUCUGUAUUUCCUCUUUGCCUUCUGCCAUGAUUGUAAGUCUCCUGACGCCUCCCCAGUCACAACUCCUGAAUAGCCUGCAGAACUGUGAGUCAAUUAAACCUCUUUCCUUUAUAAAUGAUCCAGUUUUAGGUAGUUCUUUAUAGCAGUGAGGGAACAGAUGACUACAACUUGAAUCUUAUUUCUACUGGAAAAGGCAGUCAUUUGGACACUUUGGUUCUUUAAUUAUUGGGAGCUAACUAACUUUGUAACAUGCCUCAGUGUCUAUGUUUAGGGAUCUAUGCUCUACUCUGCAUUUUCUCCUAUUUAAGUAAUGAACGCUGGAUAGAGACCUUCCCAACUCUAGAAAGAGAAACUAAGUCAUCUCUUUUGGACAACAGACAGGUGACAGGAGUUGUCAAGGAGCUACACGCUCUCCCUCCGAUCAGAGAGUAAAAGAUGGCUCACGGAGCAAACAUCGUCUGGCUCCCUGCGUCUGGCUCCCUGCUUUCUGUUUCAGACCCAGAGGACUCUGUGCGAGGGCUUUCUCAUUACUCUUGAUACAGACGUUCUUGUCCCUCUGUUAACGGGAAGCUGGAGGUAAUUACCAGCAGAAGUGAAGCUCUGUGAGGCACAUUAGGCCGGUAAACACUUCCCUCAACCACAGAGUGUGCCUCUAAUUAGGCAGUUGCUGAUGAAAGGAGUUCAGAAUCUAGUUUAAGGGCUUGCUUAGGCCAGAAGCAUCUUCCAGCUGUUAAGCGGUCUGAAAUGGCGUGGGAGGAGGGGCAAAGGGGAUGGGAAUGGAAAAAGGUGGAGAGGGCAGAUGAAGGGUUAGAAGAGAGGAAAUGAGGAGAAAUGGAAGAAAAGGAAGCAGAAUUCUAUUUUCUUUCUAUAUCAGUUACAAUAGCACCGGACUUCAUUUUGAUAGGCUGGAACAUCAGUUCUUAGAGUAAUAACUGAAAAAACUAUUUGUCAUUGUCUAGUAUAGAUAAAUGCCUGCCUAAUCUGUAACCCGGGAAAUCUCCAAGGUUUAUAUCUAAGAGAAAUAAAUAUAUAUGCCCAUCAAAGUUCACAUACAAAAAUAGUUAAUGGCAGAACUAUUCAUACUAGACCCAUCAUGGAAACAACCCUAAAGUCUAUCAACCAGGGAAUAAAGAGAGCCAUUGCAGUGUUCCCUACGUGAGGCACCACACAGCACUUUUUAAAAGAAACCAGCAAAGCCACUGCUGCUGAUGAACAUCACGUGGUGUGUUGAGCCAAAGAAGACGGACACAGAAAAGGUACAUUCUGUGCAAUUUCUUUUUUAUCAAAUCCAAGAACAGGAAGGAUGAAUCUAUGGAGACAGAUCAGAAUACUGAUUAUUUCUUAUGAGGAGAAUAUUAACUAAGAAGCUAAUAUCCUAGGAAGGAGAAUAGAAGCUUCUGGGAUACUUUAAAUGAUGGUACCUUGAUCUGAGUGUGACUACAUGGAUGUAAAAACUACAUAAAACAUAAAGUAUUCUACAAAAAUGUAAAAGUUGAACAUUUGAAUGUUUUACUAUAUGUAAGUUAAAACUCAAAACAACAUUAAGAAAAGGAAAAAUACAUCUUUACUAAAAUAAUAGGUAAAAAAUACUCUUUUUUUUUUUUUUUUUUUUUGAGACAGAGUUUCGCUCUCGUUACCCAGGCUGGAGUGCAAUGGCGUGAUCUCGGCUCACCACCGCCUCCUGGAUUCAGGCAGUUCUCCUGCCUCAGCCUCCUGAGUAGCUGGGAUUACAGGCACACGCCACCAUAGUACAACCUUUCAUUUGUUUAAAUAAGAAAAUCUUUCACAUAUUCAUCUGUCUUAGGCAUUUUUUUGUGGAAUUGCCUGUGCAUAUUCCAACCCAGGCUCCAGUUGGAAUCUUUGUUCAUAUCUCGCUGACUCAGGGAGCCUUGUUAAAUGUUCCUGAAUCCUCCAGUUGUUUGUUGCAAAUCUUUCCCUCCAGUUCAUCUUUGAUUAUUUUGAUGAUUUUUAUGUAGAAAGGGUUUAAAGUUUUAGGUGAUCAAAUCUAUCUUUUUUUUAAAUUGUCUCAGCUAGCUCUUUCAUUACCCAAUGAAAGAACUAGCUUUCUUCCAUCCCAUUUUCUUUCCAAGCUUCUUGCUUUUGAGAAACUGAUGGAAGGCAAUGUAGUUGGAGCAGCAGAGCUGUGGCGAGGAAACAGGGCGGGAGGAAUGAGGCAGCACAGGUGUUGCUUUUGGGGAUAAAUCGUGAGUGCACAGAAUGGUCAGGAAGGGAGGUAAAUGGAAAUAAUACAGAGAGUUAUGGGUUGUGAGUGGCACAUGGGCUGCUGGGAGGAGAAAGCAUGGGAGGGAUGCAAACCAGAAAAUCUAUGGAGAGGAUUGCAGUGGUGCUGGGGAGGUGGGGAAGCUUAGAGAUGGGCUUUGGUGCUCUGUCACCCGUGGGUGAAGUGAGCAUGGCCAGGACUAGUGAGGUGGCAGCAGAGAUGGAGAGGUGGGAAAGGUCAGAGAUGGGCUUCUGCAGAAUCCCAGGUGGUCCAUGGGGGCAUAACUGGGACUUAGGAGGUGGUAGCAGAGAUGGAGAAGUGGGUGGGGAGUGCUAGAGAUAGGAUUCAGCACCAGGUCCCAAAUGGGCAAGUGGAGAGCAUUUUAAGCUGGCGAGGUGAAAGCAGAGUUGGAGGUGGGGUAGGUUGCCAAUGAUCUUCAGCACUGGGUCCCAUUGGACUUGGCAAUGGAGGGACCUGGGGAGACAUCGUGGCUGAUCUGAGAUGGCUGGGCCCUUACCCAUAUGGCAGCUGCUAGAUUUCUGGGUUUGUGUAUUUGCUGUUUGUUUUUGGUUUUAACUCUUUAUCAGUCCAGAAUUAGCUUUUAGAAAUUCAGUUGAGACUGCAAUUUUAUUCCCUUCACCAAGUGGUAGAAAUUCACUACUGAAUGUCUCCAUUAAAAUAUACUUAAUAACAAUUAUUGCUCCCUCAUUAUUUUGUGAGGCUUUCCGUGUGGGUUGGUUAUGAACCAGUGCUGAAGCCCACCUCUAACCUUCCCCUCUCUAAGCCUCACUUCUUUAUCUCUGCUACCACCUUCUCAGCUGUCAUCUCACCAUGACUCACCUCUACUGACCUUUAUUCUUUUGCUUCUAUCACACAAUUUUGAUGUUCUAUGUUUUGAUCUAUAAAUCUUUUUGUAGGAAAAUUAUCUCCUGAACCCUCGUUUUAAAAAGUUCUCAGGGCUGGGCACGGUGGCUCAUGCCUGUAAUCCCAGCACUUUGGGAGGCUGAGGCAGGCUGAUCACGAAGUCAGGAGAUUGAGACUAUCCUGGCUAACAAGGUGAAACCCAUCUCUACCAAAAAGCAGAAAAUUAGCCUAGUGUGGUGGUGAGUACCUGUAGUCCUAGCUACUCAGGAGGCUGAGGGAGGAGAAUCUCUCGAACCCAGGAGGUGAAGGUUGCUGUGAGCUGAGAUUGCACCACUGAACUCCAGCCUGGGUGACAAAGCAAGACUCCAUCUCAAAAAAAAAAAAAGUUCUCAGCUGUUUUCUCAUGACUAUUUUGUUUAUAUUAUUAUUGCUUUUUCACUCAGGUGAACUUAAAA